This is a long non-coding RNA of Thrips palmi, 1533 nucleotides long. RefSeq lists it as uncharacterized. The record is from RefSeq and is a predicted model, not a curated record. The transcript has 3 exons. Lineage: Eukaryota; Metazoa; Arthropoda; Insecta; Thysanoptera; Thripidae.
UUUAACUAUUGCGACCAGAGGCUGAUGAUCUGUGUGAAAAGUCACAUUGGGCAUGCCCCAGAUGUAUUUUGCAAAUUUCUCUGCAGCAAAGACAAGGGCAAGUAACUCCUUUUCACACUGGGCAUACAGCUUUUCUGUUUCAGUUAGUGCCCUUGAUGCCAUUGCCACAGGCUUGCCAUUCUGAAGGAGCACACACCCAAUUCCAUUCUGACUGGCAUCUGCUUGUAUAACUAUAGGAAGUUUACUGUCAAAUGUGGCCAGGACCGGUGCUUUUUUUAUACUCUCUUUUAGAGUUUUAAAAGCUUCUGAGUGAGCUGGUAGCCACUGAAAUUUUACCAUUGGAGAAAGUAAUUUAUAGAGUGGGGCUGCAAUUUGACCCAUUUGAGGUAUGAAGUUUCUGAGAUAAUUAAAAGUUCCCAUAGUUUUGUGCAACUGAGUUCUCGUAGUGGGUUCUUUGAUUGCAUCUACUGCCCGCACCCUUUCAGGGUCUACCUUAGCAGAGUUCUCUGACCAUAAUUGACCUAGAAACUUAACUUCAGGUUUUCUAUAUUGUAUUUUUGAAGGAUUAAACCUUAUGUUUUCAUCUUUAGCCCUUUCCAUGACAGACUUCAGGAUUUUAUCAUGCUCCACUGCGUUUUGACCUGGGAUAAGUAUAUCAUCAAAAUAAACCACGCCCCCAGUGCCCUCGAACGCCUGUUCAGUCAAGAACUGAAAGGUUUCAGGUGCACUUGAUAUGCCAAACGGCAUCUUUAAAAAUUUGUAUAAGCCAAAGGGGGUGCUGAAACAUGUCAGCUCAGUGGAAGGCCCAUCCAGGGCAGCAUGCCAGAAGCCGUCUUUGAGAUCUAGCACAGAGAAUAUUUUCUUGUUUUUAACUCUAAUUUUCAAUUCCUCUAUUGUGGGAAUGUUAUAAUGUUGUCUCACUAUGGCUUUAUUUAGAUGCUCUGGGUCAAGGCAAAUUCGUAUGUCCCCAUUUGCCUUUUCCCUCAGCAACAUAUUACUAACAUAUUUGGGUAUUUGAUCUUUAACUUUGGCUACUAUGCCUGUCUUUUCCAGGUCAGCCAGUUUGCUUUCCAACUUCUUUAGAGUUGAAAAGUGAUACCUUCUGGGAGGGCAAGCCCCAGGCUGAGCAUUUGGAUCAACAUUUAUUUUGACUACCUGCUUAAACUGUCCCAGUCCGUUGAACUGUUCGGGAUACAUUUUCUUAAAUGCUUCACAAUUUUCUGUGGACAACAUAUGCACACACACUGAACUCACCUGUGACUUAGCUGGUGAAGACUGUGAAGCUGAUGAGUUCCAGCCGCCCCGAAGCAAGUCUUCCUCUUCCUCGCUGCCCAGAUCCAGGGUCUCAACUGCGUCGACUGACUUCUUCACCUUCUGGUCCCUGGAGUUGGAUGAAUCCCGAGGCCUGGGCCGUAUCAACCUCAGCAACCUUCUGCUCAGUCUGGUUGGAGUAUCUGGAAGUGGCCUCAACCGCCUUGCAUAUCUCGAUGAUCUCAUCCAGUUUUAGGCUUGCCUUGGCUCUAAUGUUGACAC